RNAcentral lists this transfer RNA (129 nucleotides) under Aspergillus viridinutans. It matches the Rfam family "tRNA". Rfam says of the family: Transfer RNA (tRNA) molecules are approximately 80 nucleotides in length. Lineage: Eukaryota; Fungi; Ascomycota; Eurotiomycetes; Eurotiales; Aspergillaceae. The record is from Rfam by way of RNAcentral.
GCCCGAUUAACUCAGUUGGUUAGAGUGUCAGACUUGUCAGUACCCCUCUUAGUCAUCAUCAUCUUUCGCACAUUGCUAAUUCCCUCCUAGUUAAUCUGAACGGCGAGGGUUCGAGUCCCUCAUCGGGCG